Molecule: transfer RNA, 73 nt
Filed under: Homo sapiens (human)
Lineage: Eukaryota; Metazoa; Chordata; Mammalia; Primates; Hominidae
Description: tRNA-Gln-CTG-15-1
Source: RNAcentral
GAGCUGUAGCAUAGUGAUUAGGGACAUGGACUCUGGAGCCAAAUCUGCCUGGGUUCUAGUCCCAGCUGUCUCA